CCCUUAGAUGUUCUGGGCUGCACGCGUGCUACACUGAUUACUUCAACAAGUGUUUUAACUGGAGAGUUCGCGUAAUCCUGAAAUGUUAUCGUGAUGGGAGUAGAGUAUUGUAUUUGUUAAUCUUUAACGAGGAAUUCCUAGUAAGUGUAGGUUUAUAAGUUGUUCUGAUUACGUCCCUGCCCUUUGUACACACCGCCCGUCGCUCCUACCGAUUGAGUGGUCCGGUGAGGCUUUGGGAUCUGAGCGGAAAGAGCGUUUCGCUGUUUCUGCUCGGAAAACUCAGUCGAACCUUAUCAUUUAGAGGAAGGAGAAGUCGUAACA
This 321-nucleotide ribosomal RNA is filed under the name uncultured eukaryote. RNAcentral's name for it is "partial 18S ribosomal RNA". It matches the Rfam family "Eukaryotic small subunit ribosomal RNA", at positions 1470 to 1796 of the family's 1831-position model. The record is from RNAcentral.